UUACAUUAUCACAGUAAUAUAUAAGAUAGACUUGUUGAUCUGUAAAUCUUUAACAUUCUAAACUUUCAUCUUGUAUACUGGAACAAGAUUAUAUGCCAGCCUGCAUCCUUAAUUUAUCAGAUGAUGGCUAACCUGUAUGUUUAAACUUUAUAUAUCAGGCUUUUCAUCUUGUAUACUUGAAGAGAUUAUAUACCAGCCUGCAAAUUCUAAAUGUAUUAGAUGAUGGCCAACUUCAGUAUCCUUUACUUAAUAGGUGUAUGUCAGCCUGAUGAAAAUAGCAAACAGGAAGUUUUCAAGAGAUUGUUACCUCAAAUCUGAAGUGGUUCAAUGCAAAACACGAGCUUCAUUCAAUGCUGGCCCUGCAUGGUAUUCACAAAGUGCCUUUAUUAGAUGAAAACUUAAUGGGAAUAAAUUUACCUGAUGUUUAGGUAAUGUUUGAUGCUUCCAAUUGUGGAUAUUUUGAAAAAAAGGUGAAAAUGAAGGAAGGACAUCAACACUCACGAACUUUUUUAUUCAUUGAUUAUAAAAUUGAGGAUAGUCAAAUAUAAUUUUAAAAUAUGAAAUGUAUGAAAGGCAAAGAGAGAGUCAGCUAGGUUUUGUGAAGAUUGAAUUUGUUCAUUUUAAAGCUCACUGCUUAUCUUCAAUGUUUGAUUAAAAAUGUUUUUUUUUUCUUCAAAAUUCAUUAUGUUAAAAUGUGAGAUAGUUAGAAUAUUCAUUUGUAAAGAUUUAUCCUGUUUCAACCUUAAAGCUCAUAAUAUUGUUUCCAUUUUUACGAGCUGUUUGACUAUAGACGGUCACUGCUAUUUUUUGUUUGUUUGUAUUUAUGGUUUAAACAAGAUUAAUCUAAGAGGAA
Mytilus californianus (California mussel) is the source of this 853-nucleotide long non-coding RNA. RefSeq lists it as uncharacterized. Lineage: Eukaryota; Metazoa; Mollusca; Bivalvia; Mytilida; Mytilidae. The record is from RefSeq and is a predicted model, not a curated record. The transcript has 6 exons.